Molecule: ribosomal RNA, 301 nt
Filed under: uncultured bacterium
Lineage: Bacteria
Description: partial 16S ribosomal RNA
Rfam family: Bacterial small subunit ribosomal RNA
Source: RNAcentral
CAGUCGCCGCGGUAAUACGGAGGGUGCAAGCGUUAAUCGGAAUUACUGGGCGUAAAGCGUGCGCAGGCGGUUAUAUAAGACAGAUGUGAAAUCCCCGGGCUCAACCUGGGACCUGCAUUUGUGACUGUAUAGCUAGAGUACGGUAGAGGGGGAUGGAAUUCCGCGUGUAGCAGUGAAAUGCGUAGAUAUGCGGAGGAACACCGAUGGCGAAGGCAAUCCCCUGGACUUGUACUGACGCUCAUGCACGAAAGCGUGGGGAGCAAACAGGAUUAGAUACCCCCGUAGUCCCUGUCUCUUAUAC